This 1372-nucleotide ribosomal RNA is filed under the name uncultured bacterium. Its description in RNAcentral is "bacterial SSU rRNA". It matches the Rfam family "Bacterial small subunit ribosomal RNA", at positions 28 to 1381 of the family's 1533-position model. The record is from RNAcentral.
GAUGAACGCUGGCGGCGUGCCUAAUACAUGCAAGUCGAGCGAACGGACGAGAAGCUUGCUUCUCUGAUGUUAGCGGCGGACGGGUGAGUAACACGUGGAUAACCUACCUAUAAGACUGGGAUAACUUCGGGAAACCGGAGCUAAUACCGGAUAAUAUUUUGAACCGCAUGGUUCAAAAGUGAAAGACGGUCUUGCUGUCACUUAUAGAUGGAUCCGCGCUGCAUUAGCUAGUUGGUAAGGUAACGGCUUACCAAGGCAACGAUGCAUAGCCGACCUGAGAGGGUGAUCGGCCACACUGGAACUGAGACACGGUCCAGACUCCUACGGGAGGCAGCAGUAGGGAAUCUUCCGCAAUGGGCGAAAGCCUGACGGAGCAACGCCGCGUGAGUGAUGAAGGUCUUCGGAUCGUAAAACUCUGUUAUUAGGGAAGAACAUAUGUGUAAGUAACUGUGCACAUCUUGACGGUACCUAAUCAGAAAGCCACGGCUAACUACGUGCCAGCAGCCGCGGUAAUACGUAGGUGGCAAGCGUUAUCCGGAAUUAUAGGGCGUAAAGCGCGCGUAGGCGGUUUUUUAAGUCUGAUGUGAAAGCCCACGGCUCAACCGUGGAGGGUCAUUGGAAACUGGAAAACUUGAGUGCAGAAGAGGAAAGUGGAAUUCCAUGUGUAGCGGUGAAAUGCGCAGAGAUAUGGAGGAACACCAGUGGCGAAGGCGACUUUCUGGUCUGUAACUGACGCUGAUGUGCGAAAGCGUGGGGAUCAAACAGGAUUAGAUACCCUGGUAGUCCACGCCGUAAACGAUGAGUGCUAAGUGUUAGGGGGUUUCCGCCCCUUAGUGCUGCAGCUAACGCAUUAAGCACUCCGCCUGGGGAGUACGACCGCAAGGUUGAAACUCAAAGGAAUUGACGGGGACCCGCACAAGCGGUGGAGCAUGUGGUUUAAUUCGAAGCAACGCGAAGAACCUUACCAAAUCUUGACAUCCUUUGACAACUCUAGAGAUAGAGCCUUCCCCUUCGGGGGACAAAGUGACAGGUGGUGCAUGGUUGUCGUCAGCUCGUGUCGUGAGAUAUUGGGUUAAGUCCCGCAACGAGCGCAACCCUUAAGCUUAGUUGCCAUCAUUAAGUUGGGCACUCUAAGUUGACUGCCGGUGACAAACCGGAGGAAGGUGGGGAUGACGUCAAAUCAUCAUGCCCCUUAUGAUUUGGGCUACACACGUGCUACAAUGGACAAUACAAAGGGCAGCGAAACCGCGAGGUCAAGCAAAUCCCAUAAAGUUGUUCUCAGUUCGGAUUGUAGUCUGCAACUCGACUACAUGAAGCUGGAAUCGCUAGUAAUCGUAGAUCAGCAUGCUACGGUGAAUACGUUCCCGGGUCU